GUUGCUUUCUCAUUCAGAUAGAAGGGGAGAGAAAGAGGAGAGAUGCCACAACGCCGUAGUAUCUGGUGCCCAGGUAUUCUCCUUGGGCCACACACAUCAACAGUGCCCAGGUAUUCUCCUUGGGCUACACAUGUCAACAAGGCAUGUGAUUUUCAUGUAAUGUUCAUACAGAGGGUAUGCCCUACACAGAUGUGGGUUUGUAAGAAGAAAUUGGACUGUUUUGGAACUCCAUUACCCAAUUUUUCAUGGACAUAUAUGUAGGUAAACAAGAUGAUGGCAAUUGGGGUUUAAACUGGAGGUGGAUAAUUUAUUCUCUUGGAGUAUUUACUGCUUCAAAUAUCAAAAUGAACAGACUGCUGGCUAUGCUGGUACCAAAAGUAAGUGAUAUCUUUUUCAAUACACAAAAAUUAUCUGUCUGAUUUCUGCAGCAUUUUACAGGGAUUGAGCCUCACAAUACAGGGUUACCUAAUAAAGUAUACCAUAUAAAUCUCCA
Molecule: long non-coding RNA, 493 nt
Organism: Erinaceus europaeus (western European hedgehog)
Lineage: Eukaryota; Metazoa; Chordata; Mammalia; Eulipotyphla; Erinaceidae
Exons: 3
Source: RefSeq, a predicted model, not a curated record